GACGAACGCUGGCGGCGUGCUUAACACAUGCAAGUCGAACGGAAAGGCCCUGCUUGCAGGGUACUCGAGUGGCGAACGGGUGAGUAACACGUGGGUGAUCUGCCCUGCACUUCGGGAUAAGCCUGGGAAACUGGGUCUAAUACCGGAUAGGAGCCAUUUUUAGUGUGAUGGUUGGAAAGUUUUUUCGGUGUAGGAUGAGCUCGCGGCCUAUCAGCUUGUUGGUGGGGUAAUGGCCUACCAAGGCGGCGACGGGUAGCCGGCCUGAGAGGGUGGACGGCCACAUUGGGACUGAGAUACGGCCCAGACUCCUACGGGAGGACGCAGUGGGGAAUAUUGAACAAUGGGCGCAAGCCUGAUGCAGCGAGGCCGCGUGGGGGAUGACGGCCUUCGGGUUGUAAACUCCUUUCGCUAGGGACGAAGCUUUUUGUGACGGUACCUAGAUAAGAAGCACCGGCUAACUACGUG
RNAcentral lists this ribosomal RNA (465 nucleotides) under uncultured bacterium. RNAcentral's name for it is "partial 16S ribosomal RNA". It matches the Rfam family "Bacterial small subunit ribosomal RNA", at positions 28 to 507 of the family's 1533-position model. The record is from RNAcentral.